GUUUACGGCACACCGGCCUGAGUACGCCUGAUCUCGUCCGAUCUCGGAAGCUAAGCAGGGUCGGGCCUGGUUAGUACUUGAAUGGGAGACCGCCUGGGAAUACCAGGUGCUGUAAGCU
Molecule: ribosomal RNA, 118 nt
Filed under: Oncorhynchus mykiss (rainbow trout)
Lineage: Eukaryota; Metazoa; Chordata; Actinopteri; Salmoniformes; Salmonidae
Source: RNAcentral